GGAAUAUUGGGCAAUGGGCGCAAGCCUGACCCAGCCAUGCCGCGUGAGUGAUGAAGGCCUUCGGGUCGUAAAGCUCUGUGGGAAGGGACGAAAAAAACGGGUCUAACACACCCGGGCUUGACGGUACCUUCUUAGCAAGCACCGGCUAACUCCGUGCCAGCAGCCGCGGUAAUACGGAGGGUGCAAACGUUGCUCGGAAUCAUUGGGCGUAAAGCGCACGUAGGCGGUCGGCUAUGUCGGAUGUGAAAGCCUCGGGCUUAACCCGAGAAGGGCAUCCGAAACUGGCCGGCUUGAGUACGGAAGAGGGUCUCGGAAUUCCCGGUGUAGAGGUGAAAUUCGUAGAUAUCGGGAGGAACACCAGUGGCGAAGGCGGAGACCUGGGCCGAUACUGACGCUGAGGUGCGAAAGCGUGGGGAGCAAAC
RNAcentral lists this ribosomal RNA (422 nucleotides) under uncultured bacterium. RNAcentral describes it as "bacterial SSU rRNA". It matches the Rfam family "Bacterial small subunit ribosomal RNA", at positions 358 to 773 of the family's 1533-position model. The record is from RNAcentral.